UAGGGAAUCUUCCGCAAUGGACGCAAGUCUGACGGAGCAACGCCGCGUGAGUGAAGAAGGUUUUCGGAUCGUAAAGCUCUGUUGUUAAGGAAGAACGAGUGUGAGAAUGGAAAGUUCAUGCUGUGACGGUACUUAACCAGAAAGGGACGGCUAACUACGUGCCAGCAGCCGCGGUAAUACGUAGGUCCCGAGCGUUGUCCGGAUUUAUUGGGCGUAAAGCGAGCGCAGGCGGUUAGAAAAGUCUGAAGUGAAAGGCAGUGGCUCAACCAUUGUAGGCUUUGGAAACUGUUUAACUUGAGUGCAGAAGAGGAGAGUGGAAUUCCAUGUGUAACGGUGAAAUGCGUAGAUAUAUGGAGGAACACCAGUGGCGAAGGCGACUCUCUGGUCUGUAACUGACGCUGAGGCUCGAAAGCGUGGGUAGCAAACAGG
RNAcentral lists this ribosomal RNA (429 nucleotides) under Bacteroidota bacterium. RNAcentral's name for it is "Bacteroidetes bacterium partial 16S ribosomal RNA". It matches the Rfam family "Bacterial small subunit ribosomal RNA", at positions 355 to 776 of the family's 1533-position model. The record is from RNAcentral. Lineage: Bacteria; Pseudomonadati; Bacteroidota.